This 73-nucleotide transfer RNA is filed under the name Danio rerio (zebrafish). Its description in RNAcentral is "tRNA-Lys (CTT) (tRNA-Lys-CTT-112-1)". It matches the Rfam family "tRNA". From Rfam's summary of the family: Transfer RNA (tRNA) molecules are approximately 80 nucleotides in length. Their secondary structure includes four short double-helical elements and three loops (D, anti-codon, and T loops). Lineage: Eukaryota; Metazoa; Chordata; Actinopteri; Cypriniformes; Danionidae. The record is from Rfam by way of RNAcentral.
GCAUGGCUAGCUCAGUCGGUAGAGCAUGAGACUCUUAAUCUCAGGGUUGUGGGUUCAAGCCCCACGUUGGGCG